ACUGGGCGUGGUGGUGCACGCCUGUAAUCCCAGCAGCUCAGAAGACUGAGGCAGGAAGAUCGUGAGUUCAAAGCCAGACUCAGCAAUUUAGUGAGACCCUGUCUCAA
RNAcentral lists this small RNA (107 nucleotides) under Marmota monax (woodchuck). Lineage: Eukaryota; Metazoa; Chordata; Mammalia; Rodentia; Sciuridae. The record is from RNAcentral.